AGAGUUUGAUCAUGGCUCAGGAUGAACGCUAGCUACAGGCUUAACACAUGCAAGUCGAGGGGAAACGAUAUUGGAAGCUUGCUUCCGAUAGGCGUCGACCGGCGCACGGGUGAGUAACGCGUAUCCAACCUGCCCACCACUUGGGGAUAACCUUGCGAAAGUAAGACUAAUACCCAAUGAUAUCUCUAGAAGACAUCUGAAAGGGAUUAAAGAUUUAUCGGUGAUGGAUGGGGAGUGCGUCUGAUUAGCUUGUUGGCGGGGGUAACGGCCCACCAAGGCGACGAUCAGUAGGGGUUCUGAGAGGAAGGUCCCCCGACAUUGGAACUGAGACACGGUCCAAACUCCUACGGGAGCA
This 355-nucleotide ribosomal RNA is filed under the name uncultured bacterium. Its description in RNAcentral is "bacterial SSU rRNA". It matches the Rfam family "Bacterial small subunit ribosomal RNA", at positions 8 to 349 of the family's 1533-position model. The record is from RNAcentral.